Molecule: long non-coding RNA, 798 nt
Organism: Populus nigra (black poplar)
Lineage: Eukaryota; Viridiplantae; Streptophyta; Magnoliopsida; Malpighiales; Salicaceae
Exons: 2
Source: RefSeq, a predicted model, not a curated record
AAAAAACUCUGCUUUUUGACAGGUUUCUCUCUUUCCAUAUUUUUCACUCUCCGUUUGCUAUGUAUGUGCUGUUCAUUGGCGUCAAUCUACACAUCUGGGCAAAGUAACAUAAAAAAAGACUUGUAUUUUCCCCUUCGAUCCCUCUCUUUCUUCUCCAAAUUCUCACUUUAUCGCUACCUUAUUUUGGGACGACAGAACAUGGAGAGAAGAGAUCUGGGGAAAGAAAGGUGUUGUUUUUCUGAUCUGAAAAAAGAUUUCAAUUUGAGCAGAUCGAGGAAUUCCUCCACUCUGUAAGCUUUUUCUUAUCUCUUUCUUCCUUCUUUUUUUUUCUUUAUCAAUUUGACUGAUUGUUUCCAAUCACUGUCACUUCUUGCUGUUGCUUAACAAUGGCUUCACCUGGUAAUCCAAAUCAACAACAAGGAUGUGCUUGCAAGGCAAGGAGCUCUGACUGCAGAGUUCACUUUAAGGCAUUGUGUUUCUGAUUUAGAUGGGUUUUGUUUUCUAUGGCCUUUACUUCUUGUAAAGCAACAAGAUUACUCUCUUAAACAAAAAUUAAGUUGUUCUUUUUCUAUGAGAAAGAGGAUUACUCUCUCAAAACCUUAGCACCUCUCUCUAAAGCUUCAGGAUCAAACUCAGUAGUGUUGUUUGUGGGUGAACAUUCCUAGGAGCUCUAGAUUACCCGCCGCCGUUGAUUGAGGCAAAGUGGAUGGCUGAGAUUGUACAAAAGAAGAAGACGAAGAAGAUUGAGGGGAAGGAGAAGGGUUUGAAGAAGAGAAAGGAGAGAAACUAAAAGAUCCA